ACGCUGGCGGCACGCCUUAUACAUGCAAGUCGAACGGAGUAGCAAUACUCAGUGGCAGACGGGUGAGUAACAUGUGGGUAUCUUCCCUUUGGUGAGGAAUAACACGAGGAAACUUGUGCUAAUACCUCAUAAGUCUUUACGGAGAAAGCUUUAUGCGCCAAUGGAUGAGCCCGCACUUGAUUAGUUUGUUGGUGGGGUAAUGGCCUACCAAGACUGUGAUCAAUAGCUGAUUUGAGAGGAUGAUCAGCCACAUUGGGACUGAGACACGGCCCAAACUCCUACGGGAGGCAGCAGUAGGGAAUCUUGCACAAUGGAGGAAACUCUGAUGCAGCGAUGCCGCGUGAGUGAAGAAGGCCUUUGGGUUGUAAAGCUCUUUCGUCGGGGAAGAAAAUGACUGUACCCGAAUAAGAAGGUCCGGCUAACUUCGUGCCAGCAGCCGCGGUAAUACGAAGGGACCUAGCGUAGUUCGGAAUUACUGGGCUUAAAGAGUUCGUAGGUGGUUAAAAAAGUUGGUGGUGAAAUCCCAGAGCUUAACUCUGGAACUGCCAUCAAAACUUUUUAGCUAGAGUAUGAUAGAGGAAAGCAGAAUUUCUAGUGUAGAGGUGAAAUUCGUAGAUAUUAGAAAGAAUACCGAUUGCGAAGGCAGCUUUCUGGAUCAUUACUGACGCUGAGGAACGAAAGCAUGGGUAGCGAAGAGGAUUAGAUACCCUCGUAGUCCAUGCCGUAAACGAUGUGUGUUAGAUGUUGGAAAUUUAUUUUCAGUAUCGCAGCGAAAGCAAUAAACACACCGCCUGGGGAGUACGACCGCAAGGUUAAAACUCAAAUGAAUUGACGGGGACCCGCACAAGUAGUGGAGCAUGUGGUUUAAUUCGAAGAUACGCGCAGAACCUUACCAACACUUGACAUGUUCGUCGCGACUCUAAGAGAUUAGAGUUUUCGGUUCGGCCGGACGAAACACAGGUGCUGCAUGGCUGUCGUCAGCUCGUGUCGUGAGAUGUUGGGUUAAGUCCCGCAACGAGCGCAACCCUUACUUUUAGUUGCCAUCAUUUAGUUGGGCACUCUGAAAGAACUGCCAGUGAUAAGCUGGAGGAAGGUGGGGAUGACGUCAAGUCCUCAUGGCCCUUAUGUGUUGGGCUACACACGUGCUACAAUGGUAUCUACAACAGGAAGCAAAAUGGCAACAUUAAGCAAAUCCCAAAAAGAUACCUCAGUUCGGAUUGCACUCUGCAACUCGAGUGCAUGAAGCUGGAAUUACUAGUAAUCGUGGAUCAGCGUGCCACGGUGAAUACGUUCCCGGGUCUUGUACACACCGCCCGUCACACCAUGGGAGUUGGUUCUACCUUAAGGCAAGGUUUAAUACCCUUGACCACGGUAUAGUCAGCGACUGGGGUG
Molecule: ribosomal RNA, 1392 nt
Filed under: uncultured bacterium
Lineage: Bacteria
Description: 16S ribosomal RNA
Rfam family: Bacterial small subunit ribosomal RNA
Source: RNAcentral